Hippoglossus stenolepis (Pacific halibut) is the source of this 1044-nucleotide long non-coding RNA. RefSeq lists it as uncharacterized. The transcript is spliced from 3 exons. The record is from RefSeq and is a predicted model, not a curated record. Lineage: Eukaryota; Metazoa; Chordata; Actinopteri; Pleuronectiformes; Pleuronectidae.
CACCAUCACCACCAUCACCACCAUCACCACCACCACCAUCACCUGAUGACAUAGAUGAAAAUGAUGCUUUAGAUGGGGAAGAGUGAUGGUUGAACCAAUGACCACUGCAGCCGGCGGCCUUGGGUGAAAAGCUAACGUGCGCACUUGAAGCGUCAGCUGAAGACGAGACACUGGAGUCAUCCGGGGGAAGCUGACAGGUUGUCUAUCAAGGAGACGUAAGGAAGAGGAUGAGGUACAAAAGCAGAGAGAGGAGUAAUAACACAGAAGCUGGACGUCAGCUGUCUGGAGUUACUUACAUGCAGCCAUAUCAUUGGGUAAGAGACAGCAUGAAAUAUGGACAGAGGGUAGGAGUGGAAGGGUUAAUAAAGACAAAUUAAAAAACACACCAUAACAGGUCUUUAAAACAUCUAAAGCUGUUCAUUGCAACAGUGUUAGUCACUGAAAUUGAGACAACAGUAGGAGAGGUCUGUCAGAGGGAGAAACAACAGAGCGUGCAGCAGUUACACAAAUUUAAAACCUCUUUCUUUAGUUUGAACUUAUUGUACCUUGUUUUCUACUAUGUCUCAUGUCUUACCUGCAUUGUGCUUUGCCAGGUACUUGUCCUUGUACUGUUUCUUCUUUUUGCCAAACCAGGUACAGCUGGCCUGCUGUUCCUGUUUGGUCUUCUCCAUGGCUAUACAAGCCACACGCCUGAAAACACAGCGGAGGUACAUUUGUUUGAAUUUUGUUUUUACUAAUGCAGUCAAUUACAACAGUGCUGCACUACAUCUAACCCAUAUGAUUAUAUGGGUUAGAUGUAGUAUAAGGACUUUCUUAGACAGGACUAUUCCUCAUACAACAGGCUAGAACUGAACCUGCAGCUACUGCAAGACAAAUCAGACUGAACUCCUGUGGUGUAUUGGUAACACGUCUGUCAGAUCUGAUAGAAGAACCAGGAAUGACUGGCUUUACAAUGCUUUAAUAUUUGAUCAUGUAUCUGUAAUACUGUUUACUUUGAUAUUUUGAAACAAUAUUUUUCGUAGUUUUGCUCACCACUCCUGCAGC